Molecule: transfer RNA, 76 nt
Filed under: Sulfurifustis variabilis
Lineage: Bacteria; Pseudomonadati; Pseudomonadota; Gammaproteobacteria; Acidiferrobacterales; Acidiferrobacteraceae
Also listed under: 5 other names
Description: tRNA-Thr
Rfam family: tRNA
About the family: Transfer RNA (tRNA) molecules are approximately 80 nucleotides in length. Their secondary structure includes four short double-helical elements and three loops (D, anti-codon, and T loops).
Source: RNAcentral
GCCCAUAUAGCUCAGUCGGUAGAGCACUUCCUUGGUAAGGAAGAGGUCACCGGUUCGAUUCCGGUUAUGGGCUCCA